This is a long non-coding RNA of Piliocolobus tephrosceles (Ugandan red Colobus), 596 nucleotides long. RefSeq lists it as uncharacterized. The record is from RefSeq and is a predicted model, not a curated record. The transcript has 3 exons. Lineage: Eukaryota; Metazoa; Chordata; Mammalia; Primates; Cercopithecidae.
CCAUCUUUAAGAACUGUAACACUCACUGCAAGGGUCCAUGGCUUCAUUCAUGAAGUCAGCGAGACCAAGAACCCACCAGAAGGAACCAAUUCCAGACACAUUUUGGCGACCAUGAAGGGACUAUCGCCUAUUGCCAAGUGAUGGGAAACACUCAGGCAUCAACAGGCUCACCCUUGAAAUGCAUCCUAAACGAUUGGUACCAAUUUGACUUGCAAACCCUGAAGAAGAGAGUCGAGGCCAUCAAGCUACAGAUGGUCUUACAAAUGGAACCCCAAAUGAGCUCAGCUAACAACUUCUACUAAGGACCCCUAGACUGACCCACUGGCUCUUUCACUGGCCUAAAGAGUUCCCCUCUGGAGGACACUACAACUGCAAGGCCCUUUCUUUGCCCUUAUCCAGCAGGAAGUAGCUAGAGUGGUCAUCACCCAGUUCCCAAAAAGAGUUGGGGUGUCCUGUUUAAAGAGGGGAUUGAGAGGUGAAGCCAGCUGGGCUUCUGGGUCUGGUGGGGACUUGAGAACUUGGAGAACUUAGCUAAAGGAUUGUAAACAUACCAAUCAGUGCUCUGUGUCUAGCUAAAGGUUUGUAAACGCACCAAC